GACGAACGCUGGCGGCGUGCUUAACACAUGCAAGUCGAACGGUGAACGAGUGAUCUUGCUCCCUCCGGAUCAGUGGCGAACGGGUGAGUAACACGUGAUCAAUCUGCCCCGAACUCUUGGAUAAGCGUUGGAAACGACGUCUAAUACCGGAUACGACGCGGGAGGGCAUCCUCUCCGCGUGUAAAGAACUUCGGUUCGGGAUGAGCUCGCGGCCUAUCAGCUUGUUGUUGAGGUAACGGCUCACCAAGGCGACGACGGGUGGCCGGCCGGAGAGGGUGACCGGCCACACUGGGACUGAGACACGGCCAAGACUCCUACGGGAGGAAGAAGUGGGGAAUAUUGCACAAUGGGCGAAAGCCUGAUGAAGCAACGCCGCGGGAGGGACGACGGCCUUCGGGUUGUAAACCUCUUUUAGCAGGGAAGAAGCGAAAGUGACGGUACCUGCAGAAAAAGCACCGGCUAACUACGUG
This 470-nucleotide ribosomal RNA is filed under the name uncultured bacterium. RNAcentral's name for it is "partial 16S ribosomal RNA". It matches the Rfam family "Bacterial small subunit ribosomal RNA", at positions 28 to 507 of the family's 1533-position model. The record is from RNAcentral.